RNAcentral lists this ribosomal RNA (327 nucleotides) under uncultured eukaryote. RNAcentral's name for it is "partial 18S ribosomal RNA". It matches the Rfam family "Eukaryotic small subunit ribosomal RNA", at positions 1470 to 1796 of the family's 1831-position model. The record is from RNAcentral.
CCCUUAGAUGUUCUGGGCCGCACGCGCGCUACACUGACGAAUGCAACGAGCUUAUAACCUUGGCCGAAAGGUCUGGGUAAUCUCCAAAUUUCGUCGUGAUGGGGAUAGAUUAUUGGAAUUAUUAAUCUUCAACGAGGAAUGCCUAGUAAGCGCAAGUCAUCAGCUUGCGUUGAUUACGUCCCUGCCCUUUGUACACACCGCCCGUCGCUCCUACCGAUUGAAUGGUCCGGUGAAGCGUUCGGACCGUGGCCUUUGGACGGUUCGCCGUCUGUUGGCUGCGGGAAGUUCGUUAAACCUUAUCAUUUAGAGGAAGGAGAAGUCGUAACA